This 269-nucleotide ribosomal RNA is filed under the name uncultured bacterium. RNAcentral describes it as "partial 16S ribosomal RNA". It matches the Rfam family "Bacterial small subunit ribosomal RNA", at positions 1234 to 1500 of the family's 1533-position model. The record is from RNAcentral.
CGGGUACAACGAGUCGCAAGCUCGCGAGAGUAAGCUAAUCUCUUAAAGCCGUUCUCAGUUCGGACUGUAGGCUGCAACUCGCCUACACGAAGUCGGAAUCGCUAGUAAUCGCGGAUCAGCAUGCCGCGGUGAAUACGUUCCCGGGCCUUGUACACACCGCCCGUCACACCAUGGGAGUUUGUAACGCCCAAAGUCGGUGGCCUAACCUUUAUGGAGGGAGCCGCCUAAGGCGGGACAGAUGACUGGGGGUGAAGUCGUAACAAGGUAAC